AUUGAACGCUGGCGGCAUGCUUUACACAUGCAAGUCGAACGGCAGCACGAGUGCUUGCACUUGGUGGCGAGUGGCGGACGGGUGAGUAAUACAUCGGAACGUAUCCUUAAGUGGGGGAUAACGCAUCGAAAGAUGUGCUAAUACCGCAUAUUCUCUGUGGAGGAAAGUAGGGGAUCGAAAGACCUUAUGCUUAUGGAGCGGCCGAUGCCUGAUUAGCUUGUUGGUGGGGUAAUGGCCUACCAAGGCGACGAUCAGUAGUUGGUCUGAGAGGACGACCAGCCACACUGGGACUGAGACACGGCCCAGACUCCUACGGGAGGCAGCAGUGGGGAAUUUUGGACAAUGGGCGAAAGCCUGAUCCAGCAAUGCCGCGUGAGUGAAGAAGGCCUCGGUUGUAAG
This 399-nucleotide ribosomal RNA is filed under the name uncultured bacterium. RNAcentral's name for it is "bacterial SSU rRNA". It matches the Rfam family "Bacterial small subunit ribosomal RNA", at positions 30 to 429 of the family's 1533-position model. The record is from RNAcentral.